This 75-nucleotide transfer RNA is filed under the name Mammaliicoccus sciuri. Its description in RNAcentral is "tRNA-Pro". It matches the Rfam family "tRNA". From Rfam's summary of the family: Transfer RNA (tRNA) molecules are approximately 80 nucleotides in length. The record is from RNAcentral. Lineage: Bacteria; Bacillati; Bacillota; Bacilli; Caryophanales; Staphylococcaceae. RNAcentral also lists the same sequence under 1 other name.
CAGGGUGUAGCUCAGUUUGGUUAGAGUACUCGUCUUGGACACGAGAGGUCGCAGGUUCAAAUCCUGCUGCCCUGA